This 1038-nucleotide ribosomal RNA is filed under the name Triticum aestivum (bread wheat). RNAcentral describes it as "partial small subunit ribosomal RNA". The record is from RNAcentral. Lineage: Eukaryota; Viridiplantae; Streptophyta; Magnoliopsida; Poales; Poaceae.
AUGGUGAACCCCGAGGUGAGGUCCGUCUUCACGACGCGAGCCAGAGUCGUCUCCUUCAUCCGCAGCUUCCUCGACGAGCGCGGGUUUCUGGAGGUGGACACCCCGAUGAUGAACGUGGUGGCCGGUGGCGCCGCCGCGAGGCCGUUCGUCACGAACCACAACGACCUCAACAUGAAGCUGUACAUGCGCAUCGCGCCGGAGCUCUACCUGAAGCAGCUCGUCGUCGGGGGGCUGGACUGCGUGUACGAGAUCGGGAGGCAGUUCAGGAACGAAGGCAUCGACACGACGCACAACCCGGAGUUCACGACGUGCGAGUUCUACAUGGCAUAUACGGAUUACAACAACCUCAUGGAGCUCACGGAGGAGAUGCUGGGCGGCAUGGUGAAGGAGCUCACGGGCGGCUACAAGGUACAGUACCACGCCAACGGGACCGACAAGCCGCCUAUCGAGAUCGAUUUCACGCCUCCGUUCGCGCGAAUCGACAUGAUCAAGGGACUGGAGGACAUGGCCGAUCUCAACAUACCGGAGGAGGAUCUGUCGACUGACGAUGCCAACGAGUACCUGAUGGAGGCCUGUGCCAGGUACGACAUUACGUGCCCUCUUCCACACACGACGGCACGGCUGCUGGACAAGCUUGUCGGGCACUUCUUGGAGGAGACAUGCGUGAACCCGACGUUCAUCAUCAACCAUCCGGAGAUCAUGAGCCCACUGGCCAAGUCCCACAGGGACGAGGCCCGGCCUGGACUGACCGAAAGGUUUGAGCUGUUCAUCAACAAGCAUGAGGUGUGCAAUGCCUACACGGAGCUGAACGACCCCGUCGUGCAGAGGCAGCGGUUUGAGGAGCAGCUGAGGAAUCGUCAGGACGGUGACGAUGAAGCAAUGUCCAUGGACGAAACGUUCUGCACUGCCCUUGAGUAUGGCCUGCCGCCGACCGGAGGCUGGGGUCUGGGGAUUGAUCGCCUCACCAUGUUGUUGACGGAUUCCCAAAACAUAAAGGAGGUCCUCCUGUUCCCGGCCAUGAAGCCUCAAGACAGCUAG